GAACGGGUGAGUACACGUGGGUGAUCUGCCCUGCACUUUGGGAUAAGCCUGGGAAACUGGGUCUAAUACCGAAUAGGACCACGCGCUUCAUGGUGUGUGGUGGAAAGCUUUUGCGGUGUGGGAUGGNCNNNCGGCCUAUCAGCUUGUUGGUGGGGUAAUGGCCUACCAAGGCGACGACGGGUAGCCGGCCUGAGAGGGUGACCGGCCACACUGGGACUGAGAUACGGCCCAGACUCCUACGGGAGGCAGCAGUGGGGAAUAUUGCGCAAUGGGCGCAAGCCUGAUGCAGCGACGCCGCGUGAGGGAUGACGGCCUUCGGGUUGUAAACCUCUUUCAAUAGGGACGAAGCGCAAGUGACGGUACCUAUAGAAGAAGCACCGGCCAACUACGUGCCAGCAGCCGCGGUAAUACGUAGGGUGCGAGCGUUGUCCGGAAUUACUGGGCGUAAAGAGCUCGUAGGUGGUUUGUCGCGUUGUUCGUGAAAACUCACAGCUUAACUGUGGGCGUGCGGGCGAUACGGGCAGACUAGAGUACUGCAGGGGAGACUGGAAUUCCUGGUGUAGCGGUGGAAUGCGCAGAUAUCAGGAGGAACACCGGUGGCGAAGGCGGGUCUCUGGGCAGUAACUGGCGCUGAGGAGCGAAAGCGUGGGGAGCGAACAGGAUUAGAUACCCUGGUAGUCCACGCCGUANACGGUGGGUACUAGGUGUGGGUUCCUUCCUUGGGAUCCGUGCCGUAGCUAACGCAUUAAGUACCCCGCCUGGGGAGUACGGCCGNCAGGCUA
RNAcentral lists this ribosomal RNA (782 nucleotides) under uncultured bacterium. Its description in RNAcentral is "bacterial SSU rRNA". It matches the Rfam family "Bacterial small subunit ribosomal RNA", at positions 100 to 896 of the family's 1533-position model. The record is from RNAcentral.